Molecule: small RNA, 96 nt
Filed under: Candidatus Kentrum sp. DK
Lineage: Bacteria; Pseudomonadati; Pseudomonadota; Gammaproteobacteria
Description: Candidatus Kentron sp. DK t44 RNA
Rfam family: t44 RNA
About the family: This family consists of a number of bacterial RNA genes of between 135 and 170 bases in length. The t44 gene is found between the map and rpsB genes in all species in the full alignment apart from Shigella flexneri.
Source: RNAcentral
AUUUCGGGCGCGCUUGAAUGUCACACAUGCGUCGUCACAUGUAUUCGGGUGCCCGGCCGGUCCGGGUCGAUACAUGGGACGCAUGGAGGCGAAACC